RNAcentral lists this non-coding RNA (24 nucleotides) under Arabidopsis thaliana (thale cress). The record is from RNAcentral. Lineage: Eukaryota; Viridiplantae; Streptophyta; Magnoliopsida; Brassicales; Brassicaceae.
GCUGGCGGUUGCGGCAGCGGCUGC